GGUUAAGUGACUAAGCGUACACGGUGGAUGCCUUGGCAGUCAGAGGCGAUGAAAGACGUAGUAACUUGCGAUAAGCCCAGAUUAGGUAGUAACAACCAUUUGAGUCUGGGAUUUCUGAAUGGGGAAACCCACUUACAUAAGUAAGUAUCAUUAACUGAAUACAUAGGUUAAUGAGGCGAACCGGGGGAACUGAAACAUCUAAGUACCCCGAGGAAAAGAAAUCAACCGAGAUUCCGAAAGUAGCGGCGAGCGAAAUUGGACUAGCCCUUAAGCUUUACACGCGUUAGACGAACGGUCUGGAAAGUCCGACGAUACAGGGUGAUAGUCCCGUAGUUGACGACGUGUGUUCAGUGAAAUCGAGUAGGGCGGGACACGUGAUAUCCUGUCUGAAUAUGGGGGGACCAUCCUCCAAGGCUAAAUACUACUGACUGACCGAUAGUGAACCAGUACCGUGAGGGAAAGGCGAAAAGAACCCCUGUGAGGGGAGUGAAAUAGAACCUGAAACCGUGUACGUACAAGCAGUAGGAGCAGGCUUUGUCCUGUGACUGCGUACCUUUUGUAUAAUGGGUCAGCGACUUAUAUUCAGUGGCAAGGUUAACCAUCUAGGGGAGCCGUAGGGAAACCGAGUCUUAACUGGGCGUUCAGUCUCUGGAUAUAGACCCGAAACCAGGUGAUCUAGCCAUGGGCAGGUUGAAGGUUGAGUAACAUCAACUGGAGGACCGAACCGACUAAUGUUGAAAAAUUAGCGGAUGACUUGUGGCUAGGGGUGAAAGGCCAAUCAAACCUGGAGAUAGCUGGUUCUCCCCGAAAGCUAUUUAGGUAGCGCCUCGGACGAAUACUACUGGGGGUAGAGCACUGUUAAGGCUAGGGGGUCAUCCCGACUUACCAACCCUUUGCAAACUCCGAAUACCAGUAAGUACUAUCCGGGAGACACACGGCGGGUGCUAACGUCCGUCGUGGAGAGGGAAACAACCCAGACCGCCAGCUAAGGUCCCAAAUUACUACUAAGUGGGAAACGAUGUGGGAAGGCUCAGACAGCCAGGAUGUUGGCUUAGAAGCAGCCAUCAUUUAAAGAAAGCGUAAUAGCUCACUGGUCGAGUCGGCCUGCGCGGAAGAUGUAACGGGGCUAAGUAGUAAACCGAAGCUGCGGCAAUAUACUUUUGUAUAUUGGGUAGGGGAGCGUUCUGUAAGCGGUUGAAGGUGUGUGGUAACGCAUGCUGGACGUAUCAGAAGUGCGAAUGCUGACAUGAGUAACGAUAAAGGGGGUGAAAAACCUCCUCGCCGGAAGACCAAGGGUUCCUGUCCAACGUUAAUCGGGGCAGGGUAAGUCGACCCCUAAGGCGAGGCCGAAAGGCGUAGUCGAUGGGAAACGGGUUAAUAUUCCCGUACUUCUUACAAUUGCGAUGGGGGGACGGAGAAGGCUAGGUGGGCCUGGCGACGGUUGUCCAGGUUCAAGUGCGUAGGCUU
This 1467-nucleotide ribosomal RNA is filed under the name Vibrio parahaemolyticus. Its description in RNAcentral is "partial 23S ribosomal RNA". It matches the Rfam family "Bacterial large subunit ribosomal RNA", at positions 1 to 1527 of the family's 2925-position model. The record is from RNAcentral. Lineage: Bacteria; Pseudomonadati; Pseudomonadota; Gammaproteobacteria; Vibrionales; Vibrionaceae.